RNAcentral lists this ribosomal RNA (1035 nucleotides) under Echinostoma revolutum. Its description in RNAcentral is "eukaryotic LSU rRNA". It matches the Rfam family "Eukaryotic large subunit ribosomal RNA", at positions 274 to 941 of the family's 3401-position model. Lineage: Eukaryota; Metazoa; Platyhelminthes; Trematoda; Plagiorchiida; Echinostomatidae. The record is from RNAcentral.
UUGUGAAUGCAGCCCAAAGUGGGUGGUAAACUCCANCAAGGCUAAAUACUGCACGAGUCCGAUAGCGAACAAGUACCGUGAGGGAAAGUUGAAAAGUACUUUGAAGAGAGAGUAAACAGUGCGUGAAACCGCUCAGAGGUAAACGGGUGGAGUUGAACUGCAAGCUCCGAGGAUUCAGCUGGUGAGAUUGGCAUGAGCUUGGUCAUGUGGGUUGUGUGUUCGGGUCUGCUUAGCUGCAGGUCCUCGCCUUUGGUGGGGAUGCGCGUAUCGCUUAUCAAGCGUUGUGCGCCCGGGCUUCUCGAGCCUUCUCGCUAGUGCACUUUCUCGGGGUGUUCACCACGACCGGCGUUGCUGUCUGGCUGGUGCGGUUAAACCGGUCUUGUAGGGUCCUUGUGGCCUUGCUUGGUCGGGAUGGCAGGUAGCCCGUUGUGUACUUCGGUGUGCUUCGGGUGUAAUAGCCGACUGCAUCGGUUCUGUGCGGUACGUCGGAGACGGCGGCUUGUUGUGCGUGCGGGCGUGCCUGUUGCGCUGGCGGCUCUGAGUCUGGUUGCCUUGUUGCUUGUAAAUGCAGGCCUAGUGAUGGCUCGGAGUCGUUUGGUGUGCGGUUGCGUUCGUGGCACUUUAAAGGGCCUAAAGUCUGUGGUGUAGUGGUAGACUAUCCACCUGACCCGUCUUGAAACACGGACCAAGGAGAGUAACAUGUGCGCGAGUCAUUGGGCGUUACGAAACCCAAAGGCGAAGUGAAAGUAAAGGUUCGGCUUGUCCGGACUGAGGUGAGAUCCUGUCGUUUCUCACGCCUGGUACUACCAAGCAUCGAGCGGCGGGCGCAUCACCGGCCCGUCCCAUGGCGUAGUGGCGGCCUCGUGCCUGCUCAUCGUCGGGGCGGAGCAUGAGCGUACAUGUUGAGACCCGAAAGAUGGUGAACUAUGCUUGCGCAGGUUGAAGCCAGAGGAAACUCUGGUGGAGGACCGCAGCGAUUCUGACGUGCAAAUCGAUCGUCAAACGUGAGUAUAGGGGCGAAAGACUAAUCGAACC